GGCUUUGGUAGAACUUCUUCCGGUUGCUGGAUGUGGAAGGAGCAUGGAGGGUAGUUCUAACACCAAUGAAAGGGGUGAGCUUAAAGUAAAUGGUCCUAUUGUUGGAUGCCUCAGUAACGCCAAAUUUAACAGCCAAAUUAUGCACCUUGCAAACAUCUCCCCAUUGACCUGAAAUCUUGCAGUUGAUAUAAGGGGCAUUGUCAAACUUGAGAUCACAGUGAUUCCAUGUAUUACCAAGCUAAUCAAUUAAUCUGAGUUGAGUCUCCUCAUUAGGCAGUGCAUUUUGACAGAAACCUCUCCAAUAGAGCGUCUGUUGAAUAAUUAAACAACAUUUUAGCCAUGAAUAAAAAGUACUAAUGAUCUNNNNNNNNNNNNNNNNCAUGAGAAAUGAAACAUACCAAAGUCCCAGUAUGGACAUCAGAAAUAGUGAGAGUUUUCUCAAGACUAUGUGCAAAAACUCUUGGAAGAACAAAGUAGGGAAUAGGUCCAUUUGAAGAUGAUUAAAGAAAAGGUUUUUCCAACAUGAGUUUAUAUGGAGGAGUUUUAUGAGGAUAGGUGAUCUCCAUGCCAGUAAUGAAUCGAACCCGGAUGAAAAAAACAAAAGGACUGAUGAACAAAAGAGUAAUCCAAGCGCCAGCGUUGAUGUUAUAAAAAUCUCUCAACCGAGACCA
This 671-nucleotide long non-coding RNA is filed under the name Trifolium pratense (red clover). Its description in RNAcentral is "long non-coding RNA (TPRA_LNC006011)". Lineage: Eukaryota; Viridiplantae; Streptophyta; Magnoliopsida; Fabales; Fabaceae. The record is from RNAcentral.